This 377-nucleotide ribosomal RNA is filed under the name uncultured bacterium. Its description in RNAcentral is "bacterial SSU rRNA". It matches the Rfam family "Bacterial small subunit ribosomal RNA", at positions 523 to 898 of the family's 1533-position model. The record is from RNAcentral.
ACACGUAGGGGGCGAGCGUUGUCCGGAAUUACUGGGCGUAAAGGGCGCGUAGGCGGCUUAAUAAGUCUGAUGUGAAACCCCUGGGCUUAACCCUGGGCUUGCAUUAGAAACUGUUAAGCUUGAGGGCAGGAGAGGAAAGCGGAAUUCCCAGUGUAGCGGUGAAAUGCGUAGAUAUUGGGAAGAACACCAGUGGCGAAGGCGGCUUUCUGGACUGUUACUGACGCUGAGGCGCGAAAGCCAGGGGAGCGAACGGGAUUAGAUACCCCGGUAGUCCUGGCCGUAAACGAUGGAUACUAGGUGUGGGAGGUAUCGACCCCUUCCGUGCCGCAGUUAACACAUUAAGUAUCCCGCCUGGGGAGUACGGCCGCAAGGCUGAA